GCCUACCAUGGUGGUAACGGGUAACGGGGUGUUAGGGCACGACACCGGAGAGGGAGCCUGAGAAACGGCUACCACAUCCAAGGAUGGCAGCAGGCGCGCAAAUUACCCAAUCCCGACACGGGGAGGUAGUGACAAUAAAUAACAAUACGGGGUUCUUUAGGAUCUCGUAAUUGGAAUGAGUACAAUUUAAAUCUCUUAACGAGGAACAAUUGGAGGGCAAGUCUGGUGCCAGCAGCCGCGGUAAUUCCAGCUCCAAUAGCGUAUAUUAAAGUUGUUGCAGUUAAAAAGCUCGUAGUUGAAUUUCGGGGUUAGUAGGUUGGUCAUGCCUCUGGUAUGUACUGGUCUCACUGAUUCCUCCUUCCUUAUGAACCGUAAUGCCAUUAAUUUGGUGUUGCGGGGAAUUUGGACUGUUACUUUGAAAAAAUUAGAGUGUUUAAAGCAAGCUAACGCUUGAAUACAUUAGCAUGGAAUAAUGAAAUAGGACGUUCGAUCUUAUUUUGUUGGUUUCUAGGAUUGACGUAAUGAUUAAUAGGGAUAGUUGGGGGCAUUAGUAUUCAAUUGUCAGAGGUGAAAUUCUUGGAUUUAUUGAAGACUAACUACUGCGAAAGCAUUUGCCAAGGAUGUUUUCAUUAAUCAAGAACGAAAGUUAGGGGAUCGAAGACGAUCAGAUACCGUCGUAGUCUUAGCCAUAAACUAUGCCGACUAGGGAUCGGA
This 714-nucleotide ribosomal RNA is filed under the name uncultured fungus. RNAcentral's name for it is "SSU rRNA". It matches the Rfam family "Eukaryotic small subunit ribosomal RNA", at positions 339 to 1057 of the family's 1831-position model. The record is from RNAcentral. Lineage: Eukaryota; Fungi.